This 253-nucleotide ribosomal RNA is filed under the name uncultured bacterium. RNAcentral's name for it is "partial 16S ribosomal RNA". It matches the Rfam family "Bacterial small subunit ribosomal RNA", at positions 524 to 776 of the family's 1533-position model. The record is from RNAcentral.
UACGAAGGGUGCAACCGUUGCUCGGAAUUAUUGGGCGUAAAGCGCACGUAGGCGGCUUUGCAAGUCGGAUGUGAAAUCCCUCGGCUCAACCAAGGAAGUGCAUCCGAAACUGCAGAGCUUGAGUACCAAAGAGGAUCGCGGAAUUCCCGGUGUAGAGGUGAAAUUCGUAGAUAUCGGGAGGAACACCAGUGGCGAAGGCGGCGAUCUGGGUGGAUACUGACGCUGAGGUGCGAAAGCGUGGGGAGCAAACAGG